GUAUUAGUGGCUCAACAACAAUCUCCACAGCUUCGAUCUUGUAAUUCGGUCAUGAGGGUUAGAAUCCCUUCUAGUACA
This 78-nucleotide transfer RNA is filed under the name Mugil cephalus (flathead mullet). Its description in RNAcentral is "tRNA-Thr". It matches the Rfam family "tRNA". Rfam says of the family: Transfer RNA (tRNA) molecules are approximately 80 nucleotides in length. The record is from RNAcentral. Lineage: Eukaryota; Metazoa; Chordata; Actinopteri; Mugiliformes; Mugilidae.